This 445-nucleotide ribosomal RNA is filed under the name uncultured bacterium. RNAcentral describes it as "partial 16S ribosomal RNA". It matches the Rfam family "Bacterial small subunit ribosomal RNA", at positions 354 to 796 of the family's 1533-position model. The record is from RNAcentral.
GUGAGGAAUAUUGGUCAAUGGGCGAGAGCCUGAACCAGCCAAGUCGCGUGAAGGAAGAAGGAUCUAUGGUUCGUAAACUUCUUUUGCAGGGGAAUAAAGUGCGGGACGUGUCCUGUUUUGUAUGUACCCUGAGAAUAAGGAUCGGCUAACUCCGUGCCAGCAGCCGCGGUAAUACGGAGGAUCCGAGCGUUAUCCGGAUUUAUUGGGUUUAAAGGGUGCGUAGGUGGUUUGAUAAGUCAGCGGUGAAAGUUUGCAGCUUAACUGUAAAAAUGCCGUUGAAACUGUCGGAUUUGAGUGUAAAUGAGGUAGGCGGAAUGCGUGGUGUAGCGGUGAAAUGCAUAGAUAUCACGCAGAACUCCGAUUGCGAAGGCAGCUUACUAAGCUACAACUGACACUGAAGCACGAAAGCGUGGGGAUCAAACAGGAUUAGAUACCCCAGUAGUCC